UACGUAGGGUGCAAGCGUUGUCCGGAAUUACUGGGCGUAAAGGGCGCGUAGGCGGCCCGCUAAGUCGAACGUGAAAUCCCCGAGCUCAACUCGGGAACUGCGUCCGAUACUGGCGGGCUUGAAUCCGGGAGAGGGAUGCGGAAUUCCAGGUGUAGCGGUGAAAUGCGUAGAUAUCUGGAGGAACACCGGUGGCGAAGGCGGCAUCCUGGACCGGCAUUGACGCUGAGGCGCGAAAGCGUGGGGAGCAAACGGG
Molecule: ribosomal RNA, 253 nt
Filed under: uncultured bacterium
Lineage: Bacteria
Description: partial 16S ribosomal RNA
Rfam family: Bacterial small subunit ribosomal RNA
Source: RNAcentral